RNAcentral lists this ribosomal RNA (253 nucleotides) under uncultured bacterium. Its description in RNAcentral is "partial 16S ribosomal RNA". It matches the Rfam family "Bacterial small subunit ribosomal RNA", at positions 524 to 776 of the family's 1533-position model. The record is from RNAcentral.
UACAGAGGUGGCAAGCGUUGUUCGGAAUUACUGGGCGUAAAGGGCGCGUAGGCGGCUUUUUAAGUCAGACGUGAAAUCCCCCGGCUUAACCUGGGAACUGCGUCUGAUACUGGGAAGCUUGAGUUCGGGAGAGGGAUGUAGAAUUCCAGGUGUAGCGGUGAAAUGCGUAGAUAUCUGGAGGAACACCGAUGGCGAAGGCGGGUCUCUGGGCCGAUACUGACGCUGAGGAGCGAAAGCGUGGGGAGCGAACAGG